Xenopus laevis (African clawed frog) is the source of this 1629-nucleotide RNA transcript. It is a transcript of the gene named T-lymphocyte surface antigen Ly-9, with no coding region annotated. The record is from RefSeq and is a predicted model, not a curated record. Lineage: Eukaryota; Metazoa; Chordata; Amphibia; Anura; Pipidae. The transcript is spliced from 8 exons.
UUCAUUUCUUGCACUUCUGAUAAGCAGGAAAACUGCUGUAUGUACUCAUACAAAGGAAAUGUUGUCCAACCCAGUGUGGGUGUAUUUUCAGUUAUAUAAGUGCCUUGUGCUACAGAACACUCAUUUCUUUUCCUCAAGGAUGUAGUUUUUUUGUUUUUUUUUUUCUUCUUCUCCACAUAGUCUUAUUUUCAGGGCAUUGCUGGUUAUUCUGGAUUCUCUUUACCCUCAUGUCUGGCAGUUCAGCAAUCUAAAAAUAGGAUGGAACACAUUGAACUCAUAUAUUUACUCUCACUGGUCUUGCAAACUUGCUGUGUAACAGGGAAGGAUCCUGAUCCAUUGACUGGCCAUGUACAAGGGUCUGUUGAGUUGCUAUACAAUAUUCCAGUUCCAGUUGAUCUAGCAAUUUGGGAUUUUUCAUGUAGUGGAAAAAAAGGUAAAGUGGCAGAAUUCAUUCAGCAAAAGUUUAGUAUCACCCGGGAAGAAUUCCGCAGUCGAUUGGAAUGUUCUAACAAUGGAACCACAUUAAUAAUCAGAAAUCUGACUAAAGAGGACAGUGGCAUCUACACUGUACAGAUUUAUGACACUGAACAUGAUAAAUACGAAAUGUCUUAUAAUCUCUCAGUAUUUGAGCUGGUUCCCAAGCCACAAAUCAAGGAAGAAGAGAAGAGGAAUGAAACUGGCCAAUGUAAUUAUACUCUUCACUGUUCCGUCCCAUCAGACUCAUCAGCUCUGUCCUACAGUUGGAUGUACAGAUAUAAUAACUCUGAGUAUCAUCACUAUGCAAAUGGGAGCACAAUCCACAUCUCAUCACACAAUAAACCACUGGAAUGUAUCUGCUUGGUACGAAAUCCUGCGCACAAGAAUAAUGACACUUUUGUUUUACCAGCCUGUUCUGAGAUACUAAUGGAAGAAAAGAAAAGACGUCGAGAUUCCCUGAUCAUCAUGAUCUGUGUAUGUGGACCUUUUGCUGGCCUUGCAGUUGCACAAGUUUUUCUUUUUGUGAGAAAAAGAAGACAGAGGAAAAAGAAGAAAGAUAUGACAUAUAGUAAAAUUCAAUUUAACACACAGAAAAGUACCAACCAGACUGUGCCUAGCAGAAAUGGAUUCAGCAGCAAUCCUUUGUUACAUUCAGAAACAACCUAUAUUGAUGUAAAGAGAUAGCUAGGGCCAGUUGCUUACUCCUGUACCACAGACAAAAAGUUCUGUUACAAGAUAUUGAUGAAACAGAUAAUGUUAUCAAUACAGUUACUAACUUCCCUAGAAGUGUAAAGUCAUCACUCUCUGGUUGACAAGGUAAUGGCAUUGAGUAUCCAGCUCACCUGGUGGUACAUUGAAAUAUGCGCAGAAUGGAUAAACUAAACCACUGAGUACUGUAUAUGUUUAUAUAAAUAUAUUUGUUAAUUAUGCUAUAUUAAAAGCUAAUGUUAAUAAAUGUAACUUCUGACAAUUUGCCAAAACGUAAUCAAAAACCUGUUUCUUGGUUUCAUUGUAUAAUUCAUGAACUGAAUGUCAAUUUUGAGUCUAAUUUAGGUUUAUGUUGGGGAGUAAGGAGUAUAUAACCCCCAAGCUGUCAAAUACUCGGUUAACUACUUAACUAACUGUCAGUAAUAAAAUAUAUGAAGCACCCAG